GUGUCAGCAGCCGCGGUAAUACGUAGGGUCCGAGCGUUGUCCGGAUUUAUUGGGCGUAAAGAGCUCGUAGGCGGUUCCGUAAGUCAGAUGUGAAAACUCAGGGCUCAACCCGGAGACGCCAUCUGAUACUGCGGUGACUGGAGUCUGGUAGGGGAACACGGAAUUCCUGGUGUAGCGGUGAAAUGCGCAGAUAUCAGGAGGAACACCGAUGGCGAAGGCAGUGUUCUGGGCCAGUACUGACGCUGAGGAGCGAAAGCGUGGGGAGCAAACAGGAUUAGAAACCCUCGUAGUCC
RNAcentral lists this ribosomal RNA (293 nucleotides) under uncultured bacterium. Its description in RNAcentral is "partial 16S ribosomal RNA". It matches the Rfam family "Bacterial small subunit ribosomal RNA", at positions 505 to 796 of the family's 1533-position model. The record is from RNAcentral.